UACGUAGGGUGCAAGCGUUAAUCGGAAUUACUGGGCGUAAAGCGUGCGCAGGCGGUUCGCUAAGACCGAUGUGAAAUCCCCGGGCUUAACCUGGGAACUGCAUUGGUGACUGGCAGGCUAGAGUGUGGCAGAGGGGGGUGGAAUUCCACGUGUAGCAGUGAAAUGCGUAGAGAUGUGGAGGAACACCGAUGGCGAAGGCAGCCCCCUGGGCUAACACUGACGCUCAUGCACGAAAGCGUGGGGAGCAAACAGG
Molecule: ribosomal RNA, 253 nt
Filed under: uncultured bacterium
Lineage: Bacteria
Description: partial 16S ribosomal RNA
Rfam family: Bacterial small subunit ribosomal RNA
Source: RNAcentral